Molecule: unclassified non-coding RNA, 2861 nt
Filed under: Daphnia pulex (common water flea)
Lineage: Eukaryota; Metazoa; Arthropoda; Branchiopoda; Diplostraca; Daphniidae
Description: pyrimidodiazepine synthase-like, transcript variant X1
Source: RNAcentral
GCUUCAGGCAGCUUCAGGUACCGGUAGCGGUAGUAUUGCUCUGGCGGGCUGAAUUUAAAAGAAAGCUAAAUUGCGCAGUCCAAUAUCAAUAAACAAUCGGCCUUUAUAGCCUUUACAACUUACUUAUCAGCUAAAGUUUCAUGUCCAUUCUUAGAACGUUCGCGAAGAGGGCGGUAGAGAAAUCUGAAAUCUUUCUGUGUUCGAAAACUUGGUUUAGAUCAAACAACAACAUGAGUGGAGUAUUUUUUCCUAUUUCUGAAACCAAACAUCUUGCUCCAGGCUCAAAAUGUCCUGAAGUAACACCAGGUCUGAUGCGAUUGUAUAAUAUGAAAUUCUGCCCAUAUGCUCAGCGGACCAGACUAGUUUUAGCUGCCAAAAGAAUUCCAAAUGAGGUUGUAAAUAUAAACUUGGUUGCAAAGCCUGAUUGGUAUUUUGCUAGAAAUCCACUUGGCAAAGUUCCUUGCUUGGAAUUUGAUGGGAAAGUGAUAUUUGAAAGUUUAAUCACUUGCGACUAUCUUGAUGAAGUGUAUCCUAGUUCACCAAUGCUGAACAGUACUGAUCCUUUUCGCAAGGCACAAGACAGGAUUUUGAUUGAAAUGUUCAAUGCGGUCAAUAGUAACUUAUAUAAACUAUACCGCUGUAGUUUGGAUGAUGAGUCCACUUGGAAAGGAGCAAUUGUUGGUAUCCACAAGGGUUUACAGAUUUUCGAAGAUGACCUAGCAAAACGAGAAAUAAAAUUUUUUGGAGGUCAGAAUCCUGGGAUUGUAGAUUACAUGAUAUGGCCUUGGAUGGAGAGAUUGCCUUCAUUGCCUAUUUUGAGCCAUGGGAUGCUAAAAGUUCAAAUGGAAAAUUAUCCUUCUUUGAUAAAGUGGUUUGAUGCCAUGAAAGAAGACGAUGCGGUCAAAGAAAGUUUCAUUUCUCCUGAAAAUCACGCAAAAUUUAUUACAAGUUUUCUAGCUGGGAAUCCGGAAUAUGACAUGGAAAUCAAUAAAUAAAGAAGAUUAAACUGGAAGUAUUCAGACCACAAACAUUUUAAAUAAGCAUCUCUUCCCUACGGUUGUUUCAAAACGUAUCUUAAUUCUGGUUGUUUGCGUGGUCGCCUGCUUCAGGAUCAUGAUGGAAGAGACUAUCAGCUUUUUCUCGGAGAUGCGAAGCCUUUUCUUCUAUCAAAAACCCAGAGUGCUCCAGUAAUUGGAUCCAAGUCUUUGGAGGUACUCUAGUUAACAAACCAUGUUUGACUAACCAUUCCUCUAAAGUUUCAUUUAUUCCAACCGGAUCUUCUUUAUCUUCCGGUCUUGACAAAUCAGAUUGUGCUUCCUCUUUCGCACGUCUUACAGCUUGUUUCAAUGUUUUCAGAGCUUCAGUCAGUGCUGCAGCUUGUUCAGUGACAAGAGCUUCAGCUUGUUGUCGGGCAGUGGCUGCAGACUGUGCAACUUCAUUUUUCUCAUCGGUUAAUUUCAAUAGCAGUUCUUUUUUAUUGUGAGAUUGUUCCGCCAAAGUUUUGAAAUCUUCUUUGCACAAGUUUAAUUAUCGUUCUAAUUCCAGAAUCUUUUGGUCUACUUCCAUGACCGCGGAUUUUUCUUGAUUACAUUGAGCUUUCGAGAUGGAUAACUCGUUUUUUGCUCCAUCCAAAAGUCUGGACUUUUCGUCGGUUUCCGUUUUAGCGAGGUUAACCGCAUUCAUUAGUGCGGAUUUUUCGAGUUCGAGAAUAGCUUUUUGGUUGUCAAAUCGCGCUCUUAAUUUAGUCAACUCGAUUUGUGCUUCAUCUAAUAGUCUGCAUUUGCCUCUGGUUUCUAGUUUAGCAAAGUUAACAGCAUCAUCUAAAGCGGAUUUAUCUUGAUUGAGGAUGGAUUUUUCGCUGUCAAAGUGCGCUUUAAAAUUUUCAAUUUUGACGUUCGCUUCAUCUAAAAAGUCUGUGCUUUUCUUCUGUUUCAGCUUUAGCAAGGGUUACCGCAUUCAUUAGUGCGGAUAUUUUAAGUUUAAGGGUGGAUUUCUGAUUUUCGAAGUGCGCUUUCAAAUUCGUCAACUAUGUUUGCGCCUCAUCCAAAAGUAUACACUUUUCUUCAGUUUCAGAUUUAGCAACCUUAACCGCAUCCACCAAAAGGGAUUUGUCUUUAUCGAUGAUAGAUUUUUGUUGAUCAAAGUUCGCUUUCAGUUCCGUCAGCCUCGUGUUAGCCUGUUCUAAAAGUCGACAAUUCACGUCGUUUUCCGUUUUAGCGACCUUAACCGCAUCCAGCAAAGCGUAUUUUUCUUCAUUUAAUUUGGAUUUUUGUUGGUCGAAGUCCGCUUUCAAAUUCUUAACCUCUUAGUUCGCGUCAUCCUAAAGUAUGCGCUUUUCUUCGAUUUCCGUUUUAGCGACCUUAACCGCAUCUUCCAAAGUAGAUUUUUGUUGGUCAAAAUGAGCUUUUGAGCAGGUUAUUUCGAAAUUUGCAUCUCCUAGUCCACACUCUUCUCCAGUUUCAGGAAUGUUUACUUUUCCUUUGUCUUCUGCUCUGAGAUGUUUGCGAGCAGGACUAAGGAGUUCCAAAAGCCAAGCACUGCCAUAUAAAAAGAUUGUUCCGACAGUGAAAACAACGAAUGAAGUAAACAUUGGUUUCUGAAGUUUUUAGUUGAUUGUGCUCAACACUCAUGCCUUAUUGAAGUUUCACGUUGCCUCUUUAAAGGUUCUAGGCUCUAGGAUGUCAUCUUGAAGAGCAAGUAUUCAGUCUGAUUUUAGGAAUUAUGGAAACCAUUCAAUCUCAGGAAAAUUUGUAACAGUAUUUAUUUGUUUUAUCUUCUUGUUGUAAUUUUGCACUUUUUUUAGUUUGAGUGAUUUGAGUUCUCUUCUCACGUACUGACGAAUAAACGAAGAAAAUUUCCGC